Molecule: transfer RNA, 65 nt
Filed under: Dipodomys ordii (Ord's kangaroo rat)
Lineage: Eukaryota; Metazoa; Chordata; Mammalia; Rodentia; Heteromyidae
Rfam family: tRNA
About the family: Transfer RNA (tRNA) molecules are approximately 80 nucleotides in length. Their secondary structure includes four short double-helical elements and three loops (D, anti-codon, and T loops). Further hydrogen bonds mediate the characteristic L-shaped molecular structure. tRNAs have two regions of fundamental functional importance: the anti-codon, which is responsible for specific mRNA codon recognition, and the 3' end, to which the tRNAs corresponding amino acid is attached (by aminoacyl-tRNA synthetases). tRNAs cope with the degeneracy of the genetic code in two manners: having more than one tRNA (with a specific anti-codon) for a particular amino acid; and 'wobble' base-pairing, i.e. permitting non-standard base-pairing at the 3rd anti-codon position.
Source: Rfam by way of RNAcentral
GGUGGCUCAGUGGUAGAGUGCUUGCCUUGAAUGCAUGAGGCUCUAGGUUUGAUUCCUGUGCACCA